CAACCUCUCCAGCUCUGCUGGGUCUUGGGGCUUGCCUUCCCGGGCAUCCCUUAAAACUAGAUGCGGCGCCGCGUUGGCUCUAAGCGUAGUACUUUUCUCGCUUUUGGGUCCGUCGUGGUGUUUGCUACCAAACCCCAACUUUCUAU
This 146-nucleotide unclassified non-coding RNA is filed under the name Neobulgaria pura. Its description in RNAcentral is "partial internal transcribed spacer 2". Lineage: Eukaryota; Fungi; Ascomycota; Leotiomycetes; Helotiales; Gelatinodiscaceae. The record is from RNAcentral.